Molecule: ribosomal RNA, 476 nt
Filed under: uncultured bacterium
Lineage: Bacteria
Description: bacterial SSU rRNA
Rfam family: Bacterial small subunit ribosomal RNA
Source: RNAcentral
GAUGAACGCUGGCGGCGUGCCUAAUACAUGCAAGUCGAACGAGGUGCUUUUGUAGCAAUACGAGAGUAUCCUAGUGGCGAACGGGUGAGUAACGCGUUGGUGACCUACCCCAAAGUGUGGGAUAACAGUCCGAAAGGAUUGCUAAUACCGCAUGUGGUCUUCGGAUUUAGAAACUGAUGACUAAAGGAGCAAUUCGCUUUGGGAGGGACCUGCGUCCCAUCAGCUAGUUGGUGAGGUAAUGGCUCACCAAGGCUACGACGGGUAGGGGACCUGAGAGGGUGACCCCCCACAAUGGAACUGAAACACGGUCCAUACACCUACGGGUGGCAGCAGUAGGGAAUAUUGCACAAUGGGCGAAAGCCUGAUGCAGCAACGCCGCGUGUGCGAUGAAGGCCUUCGGGUCGUAAAGCACUUUUCUGGGAGAUGAGCAAGGACAGUAUCUCAGGAAUAAGUCUCGGCUAACUACGUGCCAGCAG